This is a long non-coding RNA of Heterocephalus glaber (naked mole-rat), 1015 nucleotides long. NCBI's taxonomy places the organism in Eukaryota, Metazoa, Chordata, Mammalia, Rodentia, Bathyergidae. The record is from Ensembl.
UGCAGCGAGACUGACCUGGUUGGAGACCCGGAAACGGGUCAGGAGGAGUUCAUAACCCAAACGGGAAAGAGUAUUAGCCAAUUAGUCCUCUGAUUUGCAAUAAAUUGGUAGCCUUUAGAUUAAAGAAAACAGAAACUUUCUUCUACAGAUGAUCUGAAUUCAUGAAGGCAACACAGCCUAUGGAACCCGGAGUUGACUGUGAUCUUUCAAGCUUAGUCAUUUUAGAACUCAGCCUCUCUCUCCCUCUCUCCCUCUGACCCCGCACACCCUAAGGUGGAUAAACUUACAAUGAACUUACAGCUGGAGCAGUGAGGCGCUGAAGUGGACACAGCCUGCCCGCUCUGGCGGCCGGGGCCUGGCGUCUGUUGCCAGACAGAACCACGGGAACCUUGGGCUGAGCAGCCGUCCGACUUGUGUUCAGCCUUCCAGGUGGCUACUCUGACACCUCACAGCCACACUGGACUGAUCUCCAGCUCCGACAGUCACCAGAGGGUGUACUCAGGGUCAGCGACUCGCACAAAGAAGCUAAGGUGGAAAUGACCUUCAUGAGAAACAGCGUGCGCAGGAAGGACGCGGGAGCUCCAGGGAGCAGAGGGCUCUGAAGGGCGGAGGAGCCACAGGAGGUCAGCUCAGAGCAGACUCUGAAGGAGCAGGUGGCUCAGCUUUUCUCGUUCGUAGACCCAGGCCAGGAACGUCUUAAAACCUUCAGGCUAACCAUGUCACAGCGAGGCCUGGACAGAGGGAGACGAGACCGCCUGGGGUCGUGGAGGGGUGGCCAUCUGAAGAAGCGAGACAGUGCAAAAAUCCAGCCAGAGAAAUGGAAAGAAACCAUGACACGGUCGACCUACUUCUCCACUUUUCAGUUAUGAAUUGGUCUGCUAUUUGGCUACCCUGUUGGCCACACUAAGCAUGUCAAUGACAGGACCCAUCAUCUUUAGCCGUGAACGUCCAAGAGCAGAUGACCUGUGUCCAGCGCUGGCUCAAGUACUCUGACUGAGUCUGUAAUCUACACGAC